Molecule: non-coding RNA, 31 nt
Filed under: Mus musculus (house mouse)
Lineage: Eukaryota; Metazoa; Chordata; Mammalia; Rodentia; Muridae
Source: RNAcentral
UAAACUCAAAUGAGGAUCCCUCAUCAGUGUA